AGUCAUAUCCUCUCUCACAAUUUAUUUGGAUUGUACUAAAAGUGUAAAAGCUGUUUAGAUGAAGAAAUUUUUCAGCAGAAGCAGAACAAGUAAUUCUGAAAGUCAAGCUCAGCUGACCUUCCUAGAGAUGAAAAUCUGGAGCACUGAUAGUAGUAACAAGAAAAGCCUUGCCUCCAUUUGUGAAAGAUUGUUAACUGCAGGAGCUGAGAAUAGUGAAGAAGCUAAAGAAGGAAUUUCAUGCACUGUAAGAUUUCUGGAAGCACAGCUGAGGAUGUAGAAUGUAUUGGAAAUAAGUUGCCAUGAAAAGAGGAUUCAGCAAAGCCUUUGCAGCAGUUAGAAGUAAAUUCAUGUCACUGACUUACUUGCAUACCAGUCCACCAUCAGGAAAAGGCAGCUACACUUUAGAGAACAUUCAAACAAAACACAUCCUGAAGUGAUCACAGACUGAGGGGUGAUCAGGAUAAUGUCACUACGAAGUUGGAAUGCCACUAAGCUACACAAAGAAUUUAAUACCACUUUGAAAUAAACAUUCAGAUUAAACAAUGGAAUGUAUGAAAGAUAAAUGAUUUGUAUAAAAGAAACUACUGAAAAUAUCACCAUGAGCUUGAAUAAAUACCAGAUAUUUGCCACC
Non-coding RNA from Lonchura striata (white-rumped munia), 631 nucleotides. NCBI's taxonomy places the organism in Eukaryota, Metazoa, Chordata, Aves, Passeriformes, Estrildidae. The record is from RefSeq and is a predicted model, not a curated record.